This 119-nucleotide ribosomal RNA is filed under the name Helianthus annuus (common sunflower). Lineage: Eukaryota; Viridiplantae; Streptophyta; Magnoliopsida; Asterales; Asteraceae. The record is from RNAcentral.
GGUUGCGAUCAUACCAGCACCAAUGCACCGGAUCCCAUCAGAACUCCGCAGUUAAGCGUGCUUGGGCGAGAUUAGUACUAGGAUGGGUGACCCCCUGGGAAGUCCUCGUGUUGCAACCC